RNAcentral lists this ribosomal RNA (506 nucleotides) under uncultured bacterium. RNAcentral describes it as "bacterial SSU rRNA". It matches the Rfam family "Bacterial small subunit ribosomal RNA", at positions 411 to 925 of the family's 1533-position model. The record is from RNAcentral.
ACGGCCUUCGGGUUGUAAACCUCUUUUAGUAGGGAAGAAGCGUAACAGUGACGGUACCUGCAGAAAAAGCACCGGCUAACUACGUGCCAGCAGCCGCGGUAAUACGUAGGGUGCAAGCGUUGUCCGGAAUUAUUGGGCGUAAAGAGCUCGUAGGCGGUUUGUCGCGUCUGCUGUGAAAACCCGAGGCUCAACCUCGGGCCUGCAGUGGGUACGGGCAGACUAGAGUGCGGUAGGGGAGAUUGGAAUUCCUGGUGUAGCGGUGGAAUGCGCAGAUAUCAGGAGGAACACCAAUGGCGAAGGCAGAUCUCUGGGCCGUAACUGACGCUGAGGAGCGAAAGCAUGGGGAGCGAACAGGAUUAGAUACCCUGGUAGUCCAUGCCGUAAACGUUGGGAACUGGAUGUGGGGACCAUUCCACGGUCUCCGUGUCGCAGCUAACGCAUUAAGUUCCCCGCCUGGGGAGUACGGCCGCAAGGCUAAAACUCAAAGGAAUUGACGGAAUCGAAUU